GUAACAUUGGUUUUGCUUUGUUUCACAGAAUUGAUAUAUGCUGGCUUUUGCUUGAAUAUGCUCGUGUGUCACGUUCCCUUGUUUGUUCAUCUGCAUUUGUAUUGUCCUUCCUUUCAGCUAUGAUGAAGACACAUUCAUUUCCACACCCUGUAAGCCUGGAGCGUCUAAACCUCCUGCACUGUCUGUUUCAAGCGUCAGCUCCCAAAGUGCGCCCGAAAAGAAGCUGUUUUUGGCAGUGUUACAGGGGCCCAUCUUGAGCAGUUAUGCCUGACUGCAGCUCUGCUGGAUCAAGCAGCUUCUCAUUAGCCAACUGUCGCAGGAGGUUCUGAUGUCCAUCCAGUCGCCGCCGGUGUUCACGGGGUCGUGGCGGGAAAUUCUGCGUCCUUGUUUGCAUCGGAGAACGAAUGGAAUGUUGAAACUCUUAGUAGCUGUUUGGACUCUCAUUCUGACGGCACCCAUUCACUGCAGAGGAUUCAUUAGUGGGCAAGUGAUGGAGUGCUACAUUUUUCCAAAUCUUAUGAAGAAACAAACUCAUCUGCAUCUUGGAUGGCCUGAGGUGCAUGACUCGAACCCGGAACUGAACAUAACUCUCAGCAUGAGUCCAGCCCGCAGGAGGAGGAAAUAAGACGUGACACCAAUAUAACUGACAAAACGGAUGCACACUCCAUAAUGCACCAGCAGGACACUGAAACAACCACUGAUUUUGUUUCCCAAGGCAUUAAGAAAGGCUUUAAAUAACUAAUUUAGACAUAUGGAUGACAUCACUGCUUUAUGCAUAUUCUACAUUACAUUACACAUGUGCAGCACAAUAAGAAAGAAAGAAAGAAAGAAAGAAAAGCUUCCUCUUGUCACUUCCC
Long non-coding RNA from Cyprinus carpio carpio, 857 nucleotides. Lineage: Eukaryota; Metazoa; Chordata; Actinopteri; Cypriniformes; Cyprinidae. The record is from Ensembl.